RNAcentral lists this ribosomal RNA (253 nucleotides) under uncultured bacterium. RNAcentral's name for it is "partial 16S ribosomal RNA". It matches the Rfam family "Bacterial small subunit ribosomal RNA", at positions 524 to 776 of the family's 1533-position model. The record is from RNAcentral.
UACGUACCGUCCAAACGUUAUUCGGAAUUACUGGGCUUAAAGGGCGCGUAGGCGGCACGGCAAGUCGGGAGUGAAAGCCCGGGGCUCAACCCCGGAGGGUCUCUCGAAACUGCCGAGCUAGAGUGCGGAAGAGGCAAUCGGAAUUCCCAGUGUAGCGGUGAAAUGCGUAGAUAUUGGGAAGAACACCGGAGGCGAAGGCGGAUUGCUGGGCCGACACUGACGCUGAGGCGCGAAAGCCAGGGGAGCAAACGGG